CCUACGGGAGGCUGCAGUCGAGAAUCAUUCACAAUGGGGGCAACCCUGAUGGUGCGACGCCGCGUGGGGGAAUGAAGGCCUUCGGUUUGUAAACCCCGGUCAUGUGGGAGCAAAGUAAAAAGAUAGUACCACAAGAGGAAGAGACGGCUAACUCUGUGCCAGCAGCCGCGGUAAUACAGAGGAUGCGAGCGUUAUCCGGAUUUAUGGGGUUUAAAGGGUGCGUAGGCGGAUUAUUAAGUCAGCGGUAAAAUGUCCGGGCUCAACCGGGGCCGGCCGUUGAAACUGGGGAUCUAGAGUGGGCGAGAAGUAGGUGGAAGGCGAGGUGUAGCGGUGAAAUGCGUAGAUAUCACGCAGAACUCCGGUGGCGAAGGCAGCAUACCGGCGCGCGACUGACGCUGAGGCACGAAAGCGUGGGGAGCGAACAGGAUUAGAUACCCGAGUAGUC
Molecule: ribosomal RNA, 445 nt
Filed under: uncultured bacterium
Lineage: Bacteria
Description: partial 16S ribosomal RNA
Rfam family: Bacterial small subunit ribosomal RNA
Source: RNAcentral